RNAcentral lists this ribosomal RNA (468 nucleotides) under uncultured bacterium. RNAcentral's name for it is "partial 16S ribosomal RNA". It matches the Rfam family "Bacterial small subunit ribosomal RNA", at positions 28 to 507 of the family's 1533-position model. The record is from RNAcentral.
GACGAACGCUGGCGGCGUGCUUAACACAUGCAAGUCGAACGGAAAGGCCCUGCUUUUGUGGGGUGCUCGAGUGGCGAACGGGUGAGUAACACGUGAGUAACCUGCCCUUGACUUUGGGAUAACUUUAGGAAACUGGGGCUAAUAACGGAUAGGAGCUCCUGCUGCAUGGUGGGGGUUGGAAAGUUUCGGCGGUUGGGGAUGGACUCGCGGCUUAUCAGCUUGUUGGUGGGGUAGUGGCUUACCAAGGCUUUGACGGGUAGCCGGCCUGAGAGGGUGACCGGCCACAUUGGGGCUGAGAUGAGGCCCAGCAUCCUACGGGAGGCAGCAGUGGGGAAUAUUGCACAGUAGGCGGAAGCCGGAUGCAGCAACGCCGCGUGCGGGAUGACGGCCUUCGGGUUGUAAACCGCUUUCGCCUGUGACGAAGCGUGAGUGACGGUAAUGGGUAAAGAAGCACCGGCUAACUACGUG